GAUGAACGCUGGCGGCGUGCCUAAUACAUGCAAGUCGAGCGAAUGGAUUAAGAGCUUGCUCUUAUGAAGUUAGCGGCGGACGGGUGAGUAACACGUGGGUAACCUGCCCAUAAGACUGGGAUAACUCCGGGAAACCGGGGCUAAUACCGGAUAACAUUUUGAACCGCAUGGUUCGAAAUUGAAAGGCGGCUUCGGCUGUCACUUAUGGAUGGACCCGCGUCGCAUUUGCUAGUUGGUGAGGUAACGGCUCACCAAGGCAACGAUGCGUAGCCGACCUGAGAGGGUGAUCGGGCACACUGGGACUCAGACCCGGCCCAGACUCCUACGGGAGGCAGCAGUGGGGAAUAUUGCACAAUGGGCGCAAGCCUGAUGCAGCAACGCCGCGUGAGGGAUGACGGCCUUCGGGUCGUAAAACUCUGUUGUUAGGGAAGAACAAGUGCUAGUUGAAUAAGCUGGCACCUUGACGGUACCUAACCAGAAAGCCACGGCUAACUACGUGCCAGCAGCCGCAGUAA
RNAcentral lists this ribosomal RNA (515 nucleotides) under uncultured bacterium. Its description in RNAcentral is "partial 16S ribosomal RNA". It matches the Rfam family "Bacterial small subunit ribosomal RNA", at positions 28 to 523 of the family's 1533-position model. The record is from RNAcentral.